This 468-nucleotide ribosomal RNA is filed under the name uncultured bacterium. RNAcentral describes it as "partial 16S ribosomal RNA". It matches the Rfam family "Bacterial small subunit ribosomal RNA", at positions 28 to 507 of the family's 1533-position model. The record is from RNAcentral.
GACGAACGCUGGCGGCGUGCUUAACACAUGCAAGUCGAACGGAAAGGCCCUGCUUUUGUGGGGUGCUCGAGUGGCGAACGGGUGAGUAACACGUGAGUAACCUGCCCUUGACUUUGGGAUAACUUCAGGAAACUGGGGCUAAUACCGGAUAGGAUCUCCUGCUGCAUGGUGGGGGUUGGAAAGUUUCGGCGGGUGGGGAUGGACUCGCGGCUUAUCAGCUUGGUGGUGGGGUAGUGGCUUACCAAGGCUUUGACGGGUAGCCGGCCUGAGAGGGUGACCGGCCACAAUGGGACUGAGAUACGGCCCAGACUCCUACGGGAGGCAGCAGUGGGGAAUAUGGCACAGUGGGCGGAAGCCUGAUGCAGCAACGCCGCGUGCGGGAUGACGGCCUUCGGGUUGUAAACCGCUUUCGCCUGUGACGAAGCGUGAGUGACGGUAAUGGGUAAAGAAGCACCGGCUAACUACGUG